Molecule: long non-coding RNA, 203 nt
Filed under: Panax ginseng (ginseng)
Lineage: Eukaryota; Viridiplantae; Streptophyta; Magnoliopsida; Apiales; Araliaceae
Description: long non-coding RNA (PGIN_LNC008106)
Source: RNAcentral
AAAUUAAAAAAAAAAAAAAAAAAAAAAAAAAAAAAAAAAAAAAAAAAAAAAAAAAAAAAAAAAAAAAAAAAAAAAAAAAAAAAACUAAAGUGGGUCUAUAAGCUUGGACACUCGUGCAUGCGUUAGAGAUAAGCUCAAAUAAUCAAAUAGUAGUAGUCAUAAUUAUCGGUUGGUGAAAAUCUCAUUGAGAUUGAGAUUACAUG